RNAcentral lists this long non-coding RNA (4170 nucleotides) under Brassica napus (rape). Its description in RNAcentral is "long non-coding RNA (BNAP_LNC019715)". The record is from RNAcentral. Lineage: Eukaryota; Viridiplantae; Streptophyta; Magnoliopsida; Brassicales; Brassicaceae.
GUUCUGACAUUAAGUCCUAAGUCUGGCUUAGGUACCGGAUUAGGCUUGGUGUGUAUUUGGUUAUUGUAGGCCUGACGUUGGCCUGUAUGUGUUUGAGGGAUUGCUUGUGAAGGGUGGUGGAUAUUAAAGCUAUGCGGUAUCAUUGGUUGGUCGAUCAUGUUCUUGUUUGAUUGUUGGUCGAUCGACUAGUGAUACUUGUAUAGUCUAAGUGUCUAACACUACAUGAGUACUGAACUCAGGCGUAUAUAUGGUUAACUAGGGAUUGGUUGUUGACUUGUUUUUAUGCAGGUUCCCGUUACUUGAAGCUAGAUCAUGGCAGGAGGCCAAGUCUAACUUAGUAACGGUUUGCUUAGCCUUAGCUUUUAUUGCAUGCUAGGGCUAGAUUGAUUGUUAUUUUGGGUUGUCUGGGUUAGAGUCUAGGUUGCGGGUAGAGGCCGCCAGCUCACUGAGUAACAUUAGGUUACUCAUCCAACUCCGUUGUCCUUUUUGCAGGUCGCUUUAGGUAAGGAUGAUCGGAUAGCUUGGUGCUGGACGUUAGGACCGCCGGUGUAGAUUUUCAUGCCUUUUGUAAACGGUAUUGUGGAUUUGUGUUUAGUUGACUCGAUUUGGCAUUAGGCCGGGCCCAGUCUUGCAUUAUUCAAUGUAUGAAUAUUUCGGGAAUCAAUAAAAGUAAUUGUUUUAUAUGCGCUUCAUGAGUACUCUGAUAUUUGACUAGUCCGGUCUAACACAAUGUUAGGUCGAGGUACGGGUUGAAAAGCCUUAGGCCUUGAUCUAACGGAAAACGCUAACUCUAGGUACGGGUUGCAAAGCCUUAUGCCUUGACGCAGCGGGACGAGUUAGUGGAUGAACUGGUCUAGGUCGUGGAGUAAAGUUUGUGACUCUGACCGGAUCAUCCCUAGCCCGUCACGUAGCGCUUCCGGACCAUGGUGUUGGGUUGGACGGUCAGUCAUGUUCUUGUUUGAUUGUUGGCUGGGCGGUUGGCCUUUCAUCUCCAACCCUUGGUGUGGGUCGUCCGUCGGUCAUGUUCUUGUUUGAUUGUUGGCCGGUGGGUCGACCUAUGCUUAGGACAGUUCGGGGGUGUUACAGAGGUGGUAUCAGAGCCAGGUUUCGUCCAUGCUUCUGGAACUCAUGAUUUAAUCGGUUUUCGAAUUUUUUAUCGAGUCAAAAUGAGUCACAAAAGGCAUUAGGGAAACCGGUCACGUCCAGCGAUAGGAUUUGUGGUUUUAGGAAUUAGGAUUGAGAUAGUGGAAUCUAGAAUUGCUAGGUUGCUUGGUUAUAACUGUUAGGUUGCUAGUUAGCAUUGCUAGGUUGUUGUAAGUAGACUAUUGGGAUUAGUUGUCUACUAACUUGUGUGUGAAGUGUUCUUUUGAGUUGCAGCGAGUAAGUGUGUUUGUUGAUCGGUACUUUAAGGGAUGAAAACCUUAAAGUGGAGGGACUUCGAGGCCAAACCCUAACCCGAAGCAGAAGAGGAGAGACAGAUUCAGAGAACUAGGCUGUGGUAUGGACUUGACAGAUGGGAGGAAACAAGACUUCGUUGGGAAAGGGCUUCAUCAGUAGUUGGGAAGACGAAGAUCGAGAAAGGAUUUGAGGAAUCUGGACAAGGAUGAUAUCUACCGAAAGGAAAAGAUAGUAUCAUGGGCAAUCAGUGUGUUAUGGCAGAGCAACAAUAAGAGAUGAUCCAGUGAUCAUUCAACAGAAGACGAUUGUGGAGGCCUUGAAGAGGACACUCAAGGAACACUUGUGGACAGAGUAAAGAGGUUAUGGAGACGAGUGGAGAAUGUUAUGAAGACGAGAAAUUGCGCAACUAAGAAUUCGAGGACGAAUUCUAUUAAGGAGGGGAGAAUGUAGAAACCCGUUGAAAAAAAAAAAAAAAAAGAAGAAUGGUCGAGUAUCUUUCUGGUGGCCGAGUCGCGGGUGAUAACGAUCGAUCGAGAAGUUUUGAAGUACGAGGUGGGCGAAGAAGUGAUCGUGAGUUAACUAUGGGUCGAAUAAGUUGCUCGACCAUAGUUAGAAGAUGUCUUAGAUUGAUGAGACAGACGUUUUCGAAGCAUAACAUUUUUGGAAGCAUGACGGUUUAGAAGCUCGACGUUUUGGAAGAAUGACGUUUCUUCAGCACGAAGUUUUCUGCAAAACUUCGUAUCAGCGGAAUAUUGUUUUGAAGACAUUGGAAACAUGAUGGGAAUUAAGCACGACGGAAGUAAUCACGAUGGGAAGCAAGCACGACGGGAUUGAGGCACGAAGGGAAAACCCGAAAUUGGACGAAAGCCCUAAUUUCGGUAUUAUGAAAAUUUUCGAGGAAGCCGGAGGCUCAGGACAUAUUUUCCCUCAAAUUCAGAGAUCAAGUGGAGUUUAUUAUAAAAUUUCUGAGCAUAAGAGAGGCUGUAGAAAAAUAUUUGGGAUUGAUUGCGGGAUGAAAAUUCACCGGAAUGAUCGAAAUCAGGCGAAUGGACCGAGAAGCUCGAGGUGUCUUGUUGCAUGGGAUCAGAACGUGGUGUCAGCCAUCUUACAAGCUGAGUGUCUACAGAAGCACGAGGUGUUGCCGUGCAUGGAAGCUGCACAUGCAGCUUGACAUGUCGAAGCACGAGGUGGAUCGACCAAGCACGAGGUGUCUCCGCGUAUGCAACCGAAGCAUGCGGCCAGCCAUGUGUGUGAUGCUGUGACGCCUUGCAUGAGUUCCAGUCAUGCAACCUGACAUCUGGGAGGAGUGGUGGCGUCCUGCAUGUGUCCUGGACAUGCAGCCAGCCAUGUGGAGCACGAAGUGCCGCCGCGCAUGCGUCCGGAGCCUUGCAGAACGACACACGGGCAGCCACCAACCUGAAUCUGAUUGGCUGGUGUUUUCUAUAAAUACCCAGCCACCCCCUUCAGUUUCAGACAUCCAGACCACACCAAAGAAACUUCAAAACGUGGCUAGAGAGAGAGAGAGAGAGAAAAUGAAAGUGUUCGAUCUAAAGUUUGAUCGAUUCUAAAGACUGAGAAGGCCAGCUCCGUCCAAUCGAUGAUUCUCUAUGAUUGUGACGCGGAAGCUCUGUCCAACUCAAUCCGUCCAAGCCAAUCAUAUUCUCCUACAAUCAAGUGGAGGUGCUGUCCAAGAUUAGUUCAGUUCCACGGAUUCAUAUCAGUCGAAGUUCUGCUCGAUGCUCCUCCGGAAAGUCCGAAGAACAGCCGAGGAGCUAAAGAAGGUUCUGUUCAGAUCAGUCUGUCCAGACGUGUCAGUUUCUUCAUGAUGAAGCCUAGGUUAUGUCCAAGUCAAGAUCAGUCAAGUCCAGUCAAGUCGUCCAUGGGGUUUUGGCCAAGUCCUCUCCGAUCAACCAGCUGCUUCUCGCCUAGAACACUGUGAGUUGGUUUGUUUGAAUUCCACUUGAAAUUUAGGGUAGAUCGAGUCGCAUAUAGAGUAGAUUGAUCACGCUAUUGAAUGGUAGAGUCCUUAGGGUUAUUUUAUUUAUGGAACCGGACUCAGUUUAGCAAGGGCUAAGCUGAGAUGAAUGGAAUUAAGACUGAGUUGAUAACCUGAUUAGGACUAAGAAUAGGAUGCAUCAUGUUUUCUAUUCUUGCAUGUUGAUAUGGUUGAGUGCAGGUUCCCGUUAUCUUUAAAGAUAGUGUCGUAGCAGGAGGCCGAACUAUCUGGGUAACGGUUUAAUUGAGUAGAUUGAUUGAGUAGAUUUAAUUAAAUGCUUGCUUGUUAAUUAAUGCUUGUUGAUUGAGGUUAGUCAGCUCUUGGUAAGGGAGUGGGUUAUGGAACCCUCGAGUCAGUGUAGCACCGAUAUACGGUCUUACGAGUUAGAUCGAGUCGUAGAUACUCAUAGUCUUAUUAUUGUGUUUGUGGUUGACUGAUUUGCUUGCAGGUUCUGACAUUAAGUCAUAAGUCCGGUUUAGGUACCGGAUUAAGCUUGGUGUGUAUUUGGUUAUUGUAGGCCUGACGUUGGCAUGUAUGUGUUUGAGUGAUUCCUUGUGAAGGGUGGUGGAUAUUAAAGCUAUGCGGUAUCAUUGGUUGGCCGAUCAUGUUCUUGUUUGAUUUUCGGUCUAAUGAUACUUGCAUAGUCUAAGUGUCUAACACUACAUGAGUAUUGAACUCAGGCGUAUAUAUGGUUAACGAGGGAUUGUUUGUUGACUUGUUUUAAUGCAGGUUUCCUUUACUUGAAGCUAGAUCAUGGCAGGAGGCCAAGUCUAACU